Molecule: ribosomal RNA, 432 nt
Filed under: uncultured bacterium
Lineage: Bacteria
Description: partial 16S ribosomal RNA
Rfam family: Bacterial small subunit ribosomal RNA
Source: RNAcentral
AACGAACGCUGGCGGCAUGCCUAACACAUGCAAGUCGAACGAGACCUUCGGGUCUAGUGGCGCACGGGUGCGUAACGCGUGGGAACCUGCCCUUAGGUUCGGAAUAACUCCCCGAAAGGGGUGCUAAUACCGGAUAAUGUCUUCGGACCAAAGAUUUAUCGCCUUUGGAUGGGCCCGCGUUGGAUUAGCUAGUUGGUAGGGUAAAAGCCUACCAAGGCGACGAUCCAUAGCUGGUCUGAGAGGAUGAUCAGCCACACUGGGACUGAGACACGGCCCAGACUCCUACGGGAGGCAGCAGUGGGGAAUAUUGGACAAUGGGCGAAAGCCUGAUCCAGCAAGGCCGCGUGAGUGAUGAAGGCCUUAGGGUUGUAAAGCUCUUUUACCCGGGAUGAUAAGGACAGUACCGGGAGAAUAAGCUCCGGCUAACUCCGU